This 644-nucleotide ribosomal RNA is filed under the name uncultured bacterium. RNAcentral's name for it is "bacterial SSU rRNA". It matches the Rfam family "Bacterial small subunit ribosomal RNA", at positions 232 to 885 of the family's 1533-position model. The record is from RNAcentral.
CGCGGCCUAUCAGCUUGUUGGUGGGGUGAUGGCCUACCAAGGCGACGACGGGUAGCCGGCCUGAGAGGGCGACCGGCCACACUGGGACUGAGACACGGCCCAGACUCCUACGGGAGGCAGCAGUGGGGAAUAUUGCGCAAUGGGCGGAAGCCUGGCGCAGCGACGCCGCGUGGGGGAUGACGGCCUUCGGGUUGUAAACCUCUUUCGCCAGGGACGAAGCGCAAGUGACGGUACCUGGAUAAGAAGCACCGGCCAACUACGUGCCAGCAGCCGCGGUAAUACGUAGGGUGCGAGCGUUGUCCGGAAUUAUUGGGCGUAAAGAGCUCGUAGGCGGUCUGUCGCGUCGGUCGUGAAAACUUGGGGCUUAACCCUGAGCUUGCGGUCGAUACGGGCAUGACUGGAGUUCGGCAGGGGAGACUGGAAUUCCUGGUGUAGCGGUGAAAUGCGCAGAUAUCAGGAGGAACACCGGUGGCGAAGGCGGGUCUCUGGGCCGAUACUGGCGCUGAGGAGCGAAAGCGUGGGGAGCGAACAGGAUUAGAUACCCUGGUAGUCCACGCCGUAAACGGUGGGCGCUAGGUGUGGGGGCCAUUCCACGGUCUCUGUGCCGCAGCUAACGCAUUAAGCGCCCCGCCUGGGGAGUACGG